RNAcentral lists this ribosomal RNA (372 nucleotides) under uncultured organism. RNAcentral's name for it is "partial 16S ribosomal RNA". It matches the Rfam family "Bacterial small subunit ribosomal RNA", at positions 527 to 896 of the family's 1533-position model. The record is from RNAcentral.
GUAGGUGGCAAGCGUUGUCCGGAAUUAUCGGGCGUAAAGCGCGCGCAGGCGGUCCUUUAAGUCUGAUGUGAAAGCCCACGGCUCAACCGUGGAGGGUCAUUGGAAACUGGGGGACUUGAGUACAGAAGAGGAAAGCGGAAUUCCAAGUGUAGCGGUGAAAUGCGUAGAGAUUUGGAGGAACACCAGUGGCGAAGGCGGCUUUCUGGUCUGUAACUGACGCUGAGGCGCGAAAGCGUGGGGAGCAAACAGGGAUUAGAUACCCUGGUAGUCCACGCCGUAAACGAUGAGUGCUAAGUGUUAGGGGGUUUCCCGCCCCUUAGUGCUGCAGCUAACGCAUUAAGCACUCCGCCUGGGGAUACGGCCGCAAGGCUG